CAUGGCUGAAUUAGUGAUUGGCUGUGUUUACAUUCACUCUAUCUGGAGAUAAUUAUGUCACUAAGUACACAAGAAAUCGCUGCAAUCGUAGCAGACUAUGC
This 101-nucleotide non-coding RNA is filed under the name uncultured Glaciecola sp. Its description in RNAcentral is "Ribosomal S15 leader". It matches the Rfam family "Ribosomal S15 leader", at positions 7 to 106 of the family's 117-position model. From Rfam's summary of the family: The E. coli Ribosomal S15 gene 5' UTR can form two alternative structures. The record is from RNAcentral. Lineage: Bacteria; Pseudomonadati; Pseudomonadota; Gammaproteobacteria; Alteromonadales; Alteromonadaceae.